CAGUCGCCGCAGUAAUACGAAGGGGGCUAGCGUUGUUCGGAAUCACUGGGCGUAAAGGGUGCGUAGGCGGGAUCUUAAGUCAGGGGUGAAAUCCCGAGGCUCAACCUCGGAACUGCCUUUGAUACUGGGGUCCUUGAGUCCGGAAGAGGUGAGUGGAACUGCGAGUGUAGAGGUGAAAUUCGUAGAUAUUCGCAAGAACACCGGUGGCGAAGGCGGCUCACUGGUCCGGAACUGACGCUGAGGCACGACAGCGUGGGGAGCAAACAGGAUUAGAUACCCCAGUAGUCCCUGUCUCUUAUAC
This 301-nucleotide ribosomal RNA is filed under the name uncultured bacterium. Its description in RNAcentral is "partial 16S ribosomal RNA". It matches the Rfam family "Bacterial small subunit ribosomal RNA", at positions 509 to 807 of the family's 1533-position model. The record is from RNAcentral.